AUUGAACGCUGGCGGCAGGCCUAACACAUGCAAGUCGAACGAGUGGGGACGGGUGAGUAACAUGUGGGUAACCUCCCAUCAGAGGGGAUAACACUUGGAAACAGGUGCUAAACCGAUACUGAUGGAUGGACCCGCGGUGAAUUAGCUAGUUGUUGAGGUAAAGGCUCACCAAGGCCACGAUGCAUAGCCGACCUGAGAGGUUGAUCGGCCAUACUGGGACUGAGACACGGCCCAGACUCCUACGGGAGGCAGCAGUAGGGAAUCUUCGACAAGGGACGAAAGUCAGACCGCGCCACGCCGCGGGAGUGAAGAAGGCUUUCGGAUCGUAAAACUCUGUUGUUAGCGAUGCGUUAUCUAACCAGAAAGCCACGGCUAACUACGUGCCAGCAGCCGCGGUAAUAC
Molecule: ribosomal RNA, 402 nt
Filed under: uncultured bacterium
Lineage: Bacteria
Description: partial 16S ribosomal RNA
Rfam family: Bacterial small subunit ribosomal RNA
Source: RNAcentral